CGAGUAUGGCAUGAAUCAAGUUAACCGCUCGGAAGCGGGUGCGAGCUCGGAUAAGGGAAAGGCGCAUCACUCCAGCUGAAGCUGCCAGACAACGAAGAAUAGUAGGAACUCGAGUUGUAGUUGUUCUCUUUUGGUUUCAACUCUGUUUAUAUGUAAACAUAUUAGUAGUUUGGAUGUAAGUUAUGAUCGACCCUGGACUUGUGGGACGAGAGUCGGAUAUUGUAUAAUAUUAAUAUCUAUGCCAGUGUUGUUUUGAUGUCAAAUGCUAGUGAUGAGCCAGAUCCGCAUCCUGCGGAUCUGGGGUCAUCACAGAUAUAGAUAUUAUGCUAAAUAAUUAAUACUAUAUACAGAGUGAAUUUACCCGAUAUUUAAAAAUAAAUUAUAAUUUUUAUCAUCCAUAUACUUAUAUCACGUGAAUUUUAUUUAAUCUAUAUUUUUUAAUAAUACAAUACAUGUCUUAAAUAUUUAAUUUUAAAAUACAAAUGUUAAAUUUUGUUGAUAAUCGGGCUCAUACAUGUUAAAGUGGCCUGCUAUUUUUUUAACUAUUUAAAAUUGUGAUUACAUUUUAAAUAUUUAUACCUUUUUAGUUUUUAAGAUAUUGUUCAAUUUAUUAUAAUUUAAAACUCUGUAUUUUAUUUAGUAAAAUUUUUUCCAAACUGUCGCUAAAAUGUUUGCAAUUUAUCACAAACGUUUACAACCUUGUAUUAUUUGUCCAAAUAUAACUGAUUUAGUUAUACACAUAUAUUUUAUUUCAUUUGGUAAUUGAAAACAUCAAGUAAAAAUUGAGUCAAUCCAAAAUGCAAUUAAAAAUAUUAAGUUCAUAAUAAUAUUAUUAUAAAUAGCAUUUCUUGUACUACAGGAAAAGCAUACUUAAAAUACAUAAAAAUAAAAUUAUUUGUAUUGUGCUCAUGACAUGUGCUUAGCACAAUUGUUUAUUAUUAGCAAAGAACACUGCUUUUUCAAUCUAUUCCUCAGUUGUUUUCCAAACAGCUUUGGAGUUUUGUAACAUUCAAAGGCUUAUAAAAGAGGUGAUCUAAACCGGCCUCCAUGAAAUGAUGUCUUGAGGUUUCAUCAUCACAAGAUGAAACUCCAAUUAUCUUACAUCCCACUCCUAGGCUUCGUAACUUUUUAGUGGCCUGAAAUCAAAUAAUAGACAGCCAAUUAGAUGUUUAGAAAGAAUGUGCAGAAAUCCAUACACACACACAUAUAUAUACACACACAAACUUUAUAUCAGAAAUAUUAAAGAAUUUAUAGAAUAAUAUGCAGAACUAACCUCAAUACCAUUCAUCACCGGCAUUUCCAUAUCUGUAAUUAUAAGAUCGAAAUGCCCUUUCCCAGCUUCAUACAUAUUAACUACCUCUAUGCCAUCAUUGAGUGUUGAAACUUCAAAACCAAAAUAAUUUAAAAGACCUCUGGUUAUAAUUCUAGUUACUGGAUCAUCGUCAACAACAAGGGCCGAUUGUCUUUUAGCAGAAGUCAUGGAACUACCAAGUGGGGAGGCCAUGCUUUAGAUAAUCUGUUCAACAAAAUAAAAAAGAAGAGAGGUUGAAUACAUAAUUAAAAACAAUAACAACAAUCAAAUAUAUAUCUAUAUAUAUACAUAUAAAUAUAAACAUAUAUCAGUUGCAUAGGAAUGAAAAUACUAAACAUUCAGAUACUCCAUAUUCACUUGCCUCGUUGAUUUCUUGAGCUAGAAUACAGAUAGCUGAGAUGAUGAAAAAUAUAACAACAAAGUUUCGAUUUUAUAGGCUUUUGGAGAUUAUCUUGGAUUUUGUGAGAUUAUAAUCAAUUAUUACAGAAAUAAAUUACUUUUCAAAUAUUCGAUUUUGUAGAUUUUAUUGAUAUUUUUUUAAUAAAUCCAGAGAUAAUAAGAUAUGAUAAGAGAUUCUAAAUCUUUGGAUUUUAUAAAUAGAGUGCUCCUCUUAUAACUAACUAAAGAGUAAUGUUACCCAAAUUUUGUUCCAAUUUUUUUCCCCCAAAUAAUCUGGAGAUAACUUAUUUUAAUUGAGCAAUUUAUGAGUAUAGAAGAAGAAUUGUUAACAAUUUUGGACGCUUAGCAUUUUCCUCUAAGUAAAUAUUGCAAGUAGGUUGAUUUACUUUUAUAUGAGGGUGUAAAUUUUUAUGACAUGUAUGUAAUCCGUUUGUUGAAUCUUUACUUUGUUAUCUCUUUUAUGAAUAUAUUUGAGUUUAUUAUAUCUUUAUUUUGUUGAUUGUUGUUAUAUCUUUGUUAUAGGAGUAGUAUUACUUUAUCUUGAUUUAUGUAGGACCAAUAUGAUAUCAAUUUUAUUAUUAUAUUUCUACCACAAUGAUGUCAUAUUUAACUAAAUUGUUUAAGAAAAUGAUAUUUUAUAUACCAGUCAUAAGAGAUUUUUAAAUUUUGUGUGAAGAUUAAAUUCACAUAUCAUGGAUAUCCAAUAUGUAUGAGGCAAUUAUUUUAACAAGUAGAUAUUUUAUUUACAGGUCAUAAGAUUUUCGAAUUUUGCAGAUUAGAUUCUCAUGUCAUGGAUAUCCAAUAUGUAUCAUGAACAAACAUUUCUCACAUAAGAGGUCUUGUUAAUGUUAUAUAUUUUUUAAUUUAUAAUUUCAAUUCAUGUUUAAACUAAUAUUAUUAUAUUAGUUUAAAAAUUAUAAUGACAUAUGUUUAAGAUAGAUUUUUCAAGGAAAUGAUUAACAUAAAAUAUAGUUUUCAGUGUAAUUGAUCUGAUGAAAGUUUUGAAUAGUCUAUCCAAACUUUAAAAAAUAAAGUUGAAAAUUACAAUAUAUUAUUUAUUUUACAUAGACUUUUGUGACACUAUUCAUCCAAAAAGUAAAAUUAUAUGUGUGUGUGUGUCAAAAUUCACUAAAAUUUCCUUCCAUGAAAGUCUGUAGACGAAUUAUUAAAUACAUUUUCUACGCUCUCAAGCCUAGUAUCAGUCUCCUUUGCACCAACUCUAACUAAAGUACUAAACUGUCUCAUAUCCAGCAAAAAGGGAAUUAGUAUAGACCCAGAAUCAGAACCGACCCUACAAAUCUUGGUGCCUACACAAUAUUUGAAAAUAAUAUCUCUAUUUUUAAGAUAGUUAUGUAAAAAAUUACGGACAUUCAAAUUAAUAUACAACUACUUAUUCAAAUACAUGUAAGUAUAUUAACACAUAAAUUUAUCAUUAUAUAUUACAUAUAAUUUUUUGAUGCACGUGGAAAUCUUAUUCUUGGCCAGAAUAAUAUUAAACAAGAUAGUGUUUGAAUGCCUUUUAAUAUUAUUUUUUUUCCAAUGUGUUUAAAUGUUUUUUUAGUAUGGAGUAAAGAUCAGUAUGCUUUUUGUUAGAGUUUCUCGAGAAAAAUGUUUACAUAAUAUUGUAUAGUUCUUUAGCGUGUGUUUAAUUUUAUGUAUUUCCCUUCUCCAAAAGCAACAAAAGCUCAAUCCUAAAACAGACACAUCUACUGCCAUCAAGUAUUGAGAAAUUAAACCAGCUUGUGCUGCACGUACAAUAAUCUUGGUAUAUAUGCAAUAUUAUUGUCUACAUGCACAUCGAGUAUUACCAAGCAUGUGGAGUAUCUAUAUGCGUAAAUCGGGUGCAUCAAAAACAUGAUUUGGUACAGUCUUAGGAGAAUGAAAUCUUGAGAGGAUUCACAUAAUUAAAAAGGGAGGCAUGUUUGCCUACAUGCAGAGAGGAUUACUUUAUGUAUAUAUUUUGACACUUUGACAAGGAUCUACCUUCCACAUUUUCCUGAGGGGGCUAAAGAAAUAUUAUUAGACUAGGAGACCAAUGGUUACCGGUCGAGAAUGAGGAUUUAUUCUAUUAUUGGAUUUGUUUGUAGCAUUAGGGUUUUGAGACUUAUUCAUGGAGUUUGUGGUUGUUUAUGAAUUAGGAUUCGAGGAGUUAGCCACAUCUCUAGAAUAAUCAAGGAUUUGUUGAGAGUGAGAGUCUAGAUUGUUUUAUUUUGGAAAAAGGUUUACAUAUUUUGGAUCCUUUAAUAUUAUAUAUACAUUUGUUUCUAUUAAAUAAAAAUCUAUCUACAAGGAUUUGUACUAAUAUUCAUUUUCAACUUACAGUUUUGCCUAGUUAAAAAUUUUGAUUCAUAAGAUGUUAUAAAGUACCGUACCCUUUAAGUUUCCAUCACGGUAAUUUUAACUUUAUAUUAUUAUUUAAAGAGAUCCAUUAACUUUUUAAUAAUAUAGUGUUAGGAUCUAAGUUUGAGACAUUUUUAAUGCAUUUAAUUUAAUUAAAAAUAUAGAUGUAUUCAGAUAUUUUUUUAAAAAAAAUAUUGUGAAUUUUAAAGAUAAAAGAAAGGUGAUUGACUUGUACUGGUAUAACUUCUUUGGUUUUUAAGGCAUAAGCCGAAAUUGUACCUCUCUUUCACGAGCAAAUUACUAACAAGUUGAACUGUUGAGGCCACCGAGAGAAGCAGAAGAAGCUCUUUCUUGGACAAAGAGAGAUGGAUAUGUGAGUUGUGUAUUUAUGACGGACUCUAAGCUUUAUGUGGACGCACGGAAGAUAAUAUAAUUUUUAUUUUUUCAAUUAGAGAAUAGAGACUGUGUUGAACUGACUAAGCAUUUUGAUGAAAUAAUACUGCAGAUUCGCAUCAAUGUGCGAAUGCAUUAGCUCAUUUGUUAGCUAGAGUUUCUUAUUUUAUAUCAUACACAUUCGCUAGCUAAAAAUCUCAUUUUAUAUCGGACCUACGAGAAUGGAGCGAUAUUGCUCCAAACUUUCUAGCUAGAAAUUCUAAUUAUAUCAUACCUACGAGAAUGGAGCGAUAUUGCUCCUGACUUUCUUUCUGAUGUAUAGUACUUGCCUUUGAUUUGAUUUAACGCAAGUGUGAUCUUUUGAAAAAAAAUAAAAAUUGUACCAAAUAAUUUAAGUAGGCUAUCUAAACAGGAAACACGUCUAAUAAGUUUUAUAAAAAUAAUACUCCGUAUUAAAUAACUUUAUUGAUCAGUAACAUUUAAAAGAAAAAAAGCACGCUUCCUGAGGAAAAAGAAAAGCAUGCUUGAAAUUGAGAACUCCAUUAACUAAUAGAAGUAUUAAAGCACUGCCAAUUCUUCACUUUUUCAAGAGGAAAAUUAGGUUUUCAUCAUCGCAAGAUGACACUCCAAUCACUUGCAGUCUACUCUCAUAGCCAUAACUCCUCAGUGGCCCAAAAAGAAACCGCAUGUAAGUUUAAAUAUAAUUGUACAAGUCCAAAUUUAUAAGUAAUAUUUGCAAAUUAGGUAAAUGUAAUGUUGUUCAAUCAUGCACAUAUAUAGUAUUGGAUUGUGGAUUUAUAGAAUAAUUUUAAAAAACAACCUGGAUACCAUUAAUUAGAGGCAUUUCCAUAUCUGUAAAAUAAUACGAUCGAAAUACCCUUUUCCAGCUUCAUACAUAUUAUCAUCAACAAAAAGUGCAGAUUUUAAGCACUCAUUGAAGUACUGCCGCCUUCAGAAGCUAGCCAUACUUUCAGUGAUCAGCAACUGAGGAAUUUCCAUUUUAUAGGCUUACAGUCGAUUACUUUUGAAAUUUCUAGGAUUAUAAGUUAUAGCAUGCAAUAUUUCCUAUCUGUAUGCGCAAUUUCUCAUAUAAAAUAUACGAAUUAAGCUUGCAAUCCCCAAGUCAAGAUCAUUGUAGUUUAUAUACGUACGUAGCCCUUGGGUUCUUUGCAGAGCCGGCUCCAGCCCUAUGCAGCCCAUGCAAUGGCAUGGGGCCUGCUUAACAAGGGGGCCCAUUUUCAAAUUAAUAAUUAUGUAUAUGUAAUAACAUGCAACCUCUGUUGGUACUCUGCUGCAAAUUAAAAAGCCAAACACAACCCAGUGUCCUUCUUUGCUCAAUUGCUUUGGUUUAAAUAUCUCUUAUCUGAUCUUUAAUCUCUUAACAACAAAAUCACUAAGCAGGAUCAACGCGAACUACAAUUACAAGGCUAUUAGUAGAACUGCAAGAGGAUAUUAAGGAGCUACUUUUAAGAAAUAAAUUCAGUUUUUUUAAUAUACAGGGGCCUAAUUUUUUAUGCUUGCAUAGGGCCUUUUAUUUGUUGGAGCCGGCCCUGGUUCUUUGAAACAAAAGGAGCUCGGUCAGUGUAUAGGCUUUUGAGCCAAUUCAACCACUUCAACUGCUCAUCUCUGCUUGCGAUUGCCUGCCAAGACACUCCAUUAUAUACAUAUAGUACAAGUUUCUAGCUCUGUGGAAAUUGAAGCUCAGACCCUGAAAAUUCAUCCACUUUUCCUUUUAUAAGGUGUUGUUAAUAUCUCAGCUGCAUCUGCCUUAAUCUCAGAAUUUGAGUAUGUUUUGGUUGAGUUGUGUUGGCUUGUUGCUGUUAUAAUACUAUCAUUUUCAAAAAUCAACCUGAAAUUAGUAUAUAAAUCAAUAUUUUCAAAAAUCAAAUCAAAGUUGUAUUUUCAGUUGUAGAAGUUGCCGACCUUAUUUUCGAAAAUAAAAUUUAAAAAAUAGUAAUUUUGAAAUUUUUGGAAAUAUUUUUAAAAAUGUACUCCCUCGGUCCCCUCAUUUGUUUACAUUGGGGGACGGGGCUCCGCACGCAUUCUAAUGCUCUCGUAAAACGUUUUCUUCUCAAUAAAAAUUUGAUGUUUAAAAUUAUAUAAAAAAAAGCAAAAAUAAGUUAUAGAACUAUGUUUUAUAUGCGACUUAAAAUGCGUGUCGAGCUGAAAAACCUGUAAACAGGGUCGGCGGCUCAACAGUGAAGCCAACUAAGCGGUUGCUUAGGGGCCCACCAUAAAAAGGGGCCUCGAAUUUUAUAGAGUUAUAUCUCUCUAUAUUAUAAAUCCUGUUGCGUUUUUUGCUACUAAAAGACUAAAUUGUCCCUCUACAUUUUCCGUAUUCACAUCCAUAUGCCACUCUUUCCGCUUCAACUUUAUACACUCAAUCCAUUUCAUCCGUUGAUUUCAAAAGCAGAGCCGCGUGUCACCUCUUCCACUCCUCUCUUUCGUUUCUUGAUUUUAUUUCAAAUUUGAAUCUCGCUGUGUGUAUCUGUCUCUAUCUCUCCUUCUUACUCUCAUAUGUUUCUCUCUCAUAUUUUAACAUAUAGUCAUUGAUGAUUGAUUGUUCUUGCAGAAGCUGUUGGGAGUCACAGUGAAAAUCACAGCAACAAUGUAUAGAGCAGUUAUAUUAUAUAAACAAGUGUAGGCCAACGAAACCACAACAAUAUAGCAUGCACGAAGAUCGUAUAUACAAUAAUCAGUGACUGAUAAAUUACAAGAAAAGAAGAGAAAGGCGCACCUUACACCGUCGCUAGAAUUAGUAUACAGAACAGCUGAGUCGCCUAGCCCUUCGAUGAAGACUAGACUGUUCUUGAAGUGAUUAUUGCCCCACUACGCUGUGAUGGGUAGUCGCAAUAUCGCUCCCAGGAUAAAACAGCACAGACCGAACCGCUCACAGACACGAGUACGAUCAACAGCGAUCAACACCUCAGUUCGCCCGAGAACAGUAUGUAUAUGUGUAUAUAUCGGAGUAGAUGGUGAGAGUGUAAGAGAGAAGAAUGAGAAUGGUGUUUGUGUUUUUCCCGUGCUACAACUCAAGUGUCGAGGCUCACUAUUUAUAGUGAGGCCAAGGCACCAACACACUGUCCAGAUUCAUUUGUCCAGGUUCAAUGAAUCUGUAUCUGUCAGACAUUCUGACCAGAUUCAUUUGUCCAGGUUCAAUGAAUCUGUAUCUGUCAGACAUUCUGACCAGAUUCAUUUGUCCAGGUUCAAUGAAUCUGUAUCUGUCAGACAUUCUGACCAGAUUCAUUUGUCCAGGUUCAAUGAAUCUGUAUCUGUCAGACAUUCUGACCAGAUUCAUUUGUCCAGGUUCAAUGAAUCUGUAUCUGUCAGACAUUCUGACCAGAUUCAUUUGUCCAGGUUCAAUGAAUCUGUAUCUGUCAGACAUUCUGACCAGAUUCAUUUGUCCAGGUUCAAUGAAUCUGUAUCUGUCAGAUAUACUGACCAGAUUCAUUUGUCCAGAUUCAAUGAAUCUGUAUCUGUCAGAUAUACUGACCAGAUUCAUUUGUCCAGAUUCAAUGAAUCUGUAUCUAUCAGAUAUACUGACCAGAUUCAUUUGUCCAGAUUAAAUGAAUCACAUUCUCAUUUCAAGCUCUUUCAAGCCACUGUAUUCAACUCUAUUUCUCAAUGGAUUUCACUAAGAAAAUGUCCCGGAAAUUACAUCAAGAACAUAUUAAAAAAUAUGCUUUAAACUUUCCAUUUUCUAACAAUCCCCCACAAAUCCAUAUAGAUAUGCAUAUUAGUCCUCAUCAUGACUUGUUUUUCAGAGUAGGUACCCUUCCGGGUUUGAACCCUCCUAAGUCCCCUACUUCGAUGGCUACCGGAUAUAGAUGGAUUGUUUCACCUUGAAUCUCUAUCCGUUGGGUGUAACCACACUCCAUAGACGACGACAAGUCAAAGGCUAUGGUGCCGAUCUACGGCUUUGAGACAUUAAUGGUCGUGUCUCGAUCCUGUUCGUCGAAUGUUUCAAGGAAUAACCCUUUCCUCUAAUUGCGACCUCACAAUUACAUUCGCUUAGCUGGGCAUCUCCAGAGAUGUACUGCAACCAUCUCGUCAAAUGACUUGACCCCAUUCAGAGUUCUAAAAACUCUUGCUAUACUUGCAGUGUCAGUACCUUUUAGGUUUGCAGGGGAUAGACUCAGAUGCAUAAGUAUCUACAUUGUAGUUAAAGGUACUACCGAUCCACCCUUACAGCUUGUUUACCACAUUGAAUACACUUUGAGGGAUCUCCUCUCAGAUGUAUUGGGUUCCCGCUGUAGAUGAAUCAUGAUGGGUUAUCAGUCCCAUCCCCAACCUUGACUUAAGGACAACAGCAUGCUCAAGCCCUUUAGUCAGUGGAUCAGCUAUGUUAUCUUGAGUUCCAAUGAACUCAAUAGCAAUAGUCCGAUCAGACACCAAACCCCUUAUAGACUUAAGUCUAACUUGGAUGUGUCUCUUUGUUUUAGCAUUAUACUUGACACUUCUGAUCUUGUCGAUAGUUGUACGGCUAUCACAAUGAACAGAAAUUGCCGGUAGCGGACGACUUACUACAGGUAACACAGACAUGAGUCCAUGUAACCAUUCAGCCUCCGUACCCGUGGCAUCCAAUGCACACAACUCGGCCUCAAACGUAGACCGAGUUACUAUAGUCUGUCUAGUCGACUUCCAGGAUACUGCUCCACCCGCAAGGGUAAACAGAUAUCCAGUCACUCCAUUGGAACCAGACUUCUUAGCUAUCCAACUUGCAUCACUAUAUCCCUCAAGCACACUCGGAUAUCUCCUGUAGUGCAACCCAAGAUAUAUGGUGCCUUUCAGAUAUCUAAGUACUCUAUCUAGAGCAUCCCAAUGAGUUCUGUUUGGACAGCUUGUAUAUCUUGCUAACUUAGACACAGAAUAUGUUAUAUCUGGUCUAGUACCAUUAGCAAGAUAUUGCAAACUACCAAUAAUCUGAGAAUAUCUUAACUGAGACACAGGUACACCUGAAGCAUUCUUGAUAAGAGCAACUUUAGGAUCAUAUGGUGUACUAGCAAUUCUACAAUUUGAAUAACCAUACUUCUCAAGUAUAGAUUUCUCUAUAUAAUGAGAUUGUGACAAGGUUAUUCCCUCAGUUGACUGAGUCAACUUGAGUCCAAGAAUCACAUUCGCCUCACCCAUGUCCUUCAUUUCAAAGUGUUUUUUCAAGAAAUUCUUUGUCUCGUUAAUAAUCUCAAUAUUGGUUCCAAACAGUAGUAUAUCAUCCACAUACAAGCACAACACAAUAUGUUCAUUUCCUUUAACCUUAUAGUAGACACACUUGUCAUUAUCAUUAACUAUAAAAUCAAAAGUCAAAACAGUGUCAUCAAACUUUUUGUGCCAGUCUCUAGGUGCUUGUUUCAAGCCGUAGAUGGAUUUGACUAACUUACAUACUUUGCUCUCAUUGCCAGAUGCAACAAAUCCCUCAGGCUGAUCCAUAUAAAUCUCUUCUUCAAGAUCACCAUGAAGAAAAGCUGUCUUUACAUCCAUUUGAUGGAUGAUAAGACCAUGUACGGAAGCCAAUGCUACAAGCAUUCGGAUCGUUGUCAAUCUUGCAACAGGAGAGUAUGUAUCAAAGUAGUCAAUACCUUCUCUUUGCCUAAAACCUUUAGCAACCAAUCUAGCUUUAUACUUAUCUAUUGAGCCAUCUGGUUUCAUCUUCCUUUUGAAGAUCCACCUACAUCCUAUAGUAGAACACCCAGGAGGGAGGUCAACCAACUCCCAUGUUCCGUUAGAAACAAUAGAGUCAAUUUCACUCUUCACAGCGCCUUUCCAGUGCCUAGAUUCCGAAGAAUCCAUGGCUUGUCGGAAAGUCAAAGGUUCGUCCUCGACAUUGUAAGUGAUAAAAUCACUUCCAAAGUCCUUAACUACCUUUGCACGCUUGCUCCUUCUAGGUUCCUCAACUUCAUUAGGAGUAGAGCUACUAGUAGGAUCUGCCCCCACAUUUGUCAUCUUUUCCACAUGAUCGGGAAUAGAACUAGAUGUGUGAGUAGGAUCAUCACUAGAAGAACUUUGAGGUAUACCAGUCUUCAUAGGGAACACAUCCUCAAAGAAUGUUGCAUCACGAAACUCAACUAUCGUGUUUGCCACUAUACCAUCUAUGUCAGAUUUUAAUACUAAAAAUCUCAUAGCUGUAGUGGUUUCGAGAUAGCCCAGAAAGAUACAAUCAACAGUUUUCGGCCCUAGUUUCUUUCUCUUGUGUUCAGGGACAAGUACCUUCGCAAGGCACCCCCACACACGAAGAUACUUUAGACUAGUUUUCCUGCCUUUCCAUAAUUCGUAAGGUGUCUUGUCCAUAUGUUUCAGAGGGACUCUAUUCAGAAUAUGGCAAGCCGUAUUCAGAGCCUCCCCCCACAUGUACUUAGGCAACCCCGAAUUAAUCAACAUACUGUUAAUCAUAUCUUUAAAAGUUCUGUUCUUUCGUUCUGCCACCCCAUUAGACUCAGGUGUAUAUGGUGGAGUCACCUCAUGAAUUAUACCAUUGCUCUUGCAAAAUUCAUUAAAGGUGUUUCCCGUAUAUUCACCACCUCUAUCAGAUCUCAAACGUUUAAGUACUUUACCAGUUUGUGUUUCAACUUCAGUUUUAAAUCUAAUGAAUUUUUCAAGUGCUUCAUCUUUAUGUUUAAGCAAAUAAACAUAACAAUAUCUACUACAAUCAUCUAUAAAGGUAAUGAAAUAUCUACAGUGUUCCUUAGUCAACACACCACCAAAUUCACAUAUGUCCGAGUGCACUAAAUCUAACAAGUCAGAAUCCCUAACCACACUAUGAAAAGGUUUCCUUGUUAGUUUAGCUGUCACACAUACUUGACAUUUAGUUUUCUUAUCAAUGGCAUGCUUUGGAAUCAACUCUAAGUUCAUCAUAUUCUUUAGAGCACCAAAAUUUAAAUGACCAAGCCUAGAGUGCCACAAAUCGGAUGAUUCAAUAUUAUUAACAGAAGGAGAAGCAAUAUCAUUAAUAAAACCGCCUAAAACAGGCUCCACAUUUAUUAAAAACAAGCCGUCUGACAAGUAGCCCUUGCCAAAAAACACACCAGUCUGAGUAAUAACUACUUUAUUACACUUUAAAGAAAGUUCAAAGCCAUUUUUAACUAAACAACUUCCACUAAUAAUAUUUCUACGAAUCUCGGGAACAUGAUGCACUCUAGUAAGGGAUAGAACACGCCCUGAAGCAAACUUCAGGUCCACGUUUCCUAUUCCACGAACUUGAGCCGCACUAGCAUUCCCCAUCGUCACUGUCAUCCCAUGAGCCUGUUGAUAAGAUACAAACAGAGUAAUAUCAGCACAAAUGUGCACAUUAGCUCCCGUAUCAAUCAACCACUCAUUAGACAGAUAAGUGGAAAAUAGUUCAGGGUUGUACUUAACAUACCCGUCAUUGGUUUCAGAAGCAACAGCCUCACCAACAACCAUGUUAAGCACAGGCCCAUCAGUGGUUCCAAGCACAGUAUUUGCUUGUGCUACCACCUCAGCUUUCUUUGCUUUCUUUACAGGACAGUCCUUACUCCAAUGACCAACCUGUCCACAAGACCAACAUGGUUUGUUGGCCUUUGAUUUCUUAGCCUUGCCCUUGUCAGUUUUGGGCUUAGUGUUCACCUUCUUAGCGACAGACUUUCUUUUCUGUCCCACAGUCACUACAUUGACCUUCGAGCUACCAGAUUCAGUUGGCAUCACAUGUCCCUGUUUGGACUUGUGCUGCUCCUGCACAGAGAUGUCCAGCAUCAGGUUAGUCCAAGUGAUCUCUCCCUUCUGCCUUUUCAGGGAGAGUGCAAACUCUUCCCAAGACUUAGGGAGUUUUUCAAUCACAGACAUAACCAAAAACUUUUCAGGAAGGUCCAUUCCGGACUCCUUCAAAGCAUGCACCAACGUCUCAAACUCAUGCACCUGCUCAGUCAUGGAUUUUGUAUCCACCAGUUUGAAGUCCAGGAACUUAGCCACAGAAUACUUUUCCAACCCUUGCGAGUCAGUAUUGUGUGUCUGAUCAAGUUUCUCCCACAAGGUCUUAGCAGUGUAGGAGUCAGAUGAGUAAACAUCGAACAGAGUGUUCGUUAAGGCUGCUAGAAUAGCAGCCCUAGCCACCCCAUCCUUUUCCUCCCACAUAGCAUAGGCCUUAAGGGUUUCAGCCUUUUCCUGUACCACAACUGGUUUCUCAUACUGCAACACCGGCCAUAGACCCUUAACCGUAAGCCACAGUUUCAUCUUUUUCUGCCAACGAGAAAAAGAAACUCCCCCACCGAAUUUAUCAGGAAUACCUGAUAAAUCAAUGGGCUGUGGAAAACGAUACGUAGUCCAAUCGAUGUUACUAGUAACACCAGACCCAGAACCAGCACCACCACCAACAACAGAAUCCGCAAUCUCAUUAACCAUCUUGCUUACUACACAAUAUAACAGAUAAUCACUUCAAGAUUGUUGGGAGUCACAGUGAAAAUCACAGCAACAAUGUAUAGAGCAGUUAUAUUAUAUAAACAAGUGUAGGCCAACGAAACCACAACAAUAUAGCAUGCACGAAGAUCGUAUAUACAAUAAUCAGUGACUGAUAAAUUACAAGAAAAGAAGAGAAAGGCGCACCUUACACCGUCGCUAGAAUUAGUAUACAGAACAGCUGAGUCGCCUAGCCCUUCGAUGAAGACUAGACUGUUCUUGAAGUGAUUAUUGCCCCACUACGCUGUGAUGGGUAGUCGCAAUAUCGCUCCCAGGAUAAAACAGCACAGACCGAACCGCUCACAGACACGAGUACGAUCAACAGCGAUCAACACCUCAGUUCGCCCGAGAACAGUAUGUAUAUGUGUAUAUAUCGGAGUAGAUGGUGAGAGUGUAAGAGAGAAGAAUGAGAAUGGUGUUUGUGUUUUUCCCGUGCUACAACUCAAGUGUCGAGGCUCACUAUUUAUAGUGAGGCCAAGGCACCAACACACCGUCCAGAUUCAUCUGUCCAGGUUCAAUGAAUCUGUAUCUGUCAGACAUUCUGACCAGAUUCAUUUGUCCAGGUUCAAUGAAUCUGUAUCUGUCAAACAUUCUGACCAGAUUCAUUUGUCCAGGUUCAAUGAAUCUGUAUCUGUCAGACAUUCUGACCAGAUUCAUUUGUCCAGGUUCAAUGAAUCUGUAUCUGUCAGAUAUACCGACCAGAUUCAUUUGUCCAGAUUCAAUGAAUCUGUAUCUGUCAGAUAUACUGACCAGAUUCAUUUGUCCAGAUUAAAUGAAUCACAUUCUCAUUUCAAGCUCUUUCAAGCCACUGUAUUCAACUCUAUUUCUCAAUGGAUUUCACUAAGAAAAUGUCCCGGAAAUUACAUCAAGAACAUAUUAAAAAAUAUGCUUUAAACUUUCCAUUUUCUAACAGAAGCUUGAUUCUAGGGUAUUUUGAGGAGUAUAGAUUUAUGAUUUAGCUGUUUGACUGACGAUUCUCUCUGUUGUGUGCCCCUUUUUUCUAGGAUUUCAAGCGCUGCUUCGCCGCUGGGAAAUCAAUUAUCCUAUUAAAUCUAUCUUUCUCGCCGGAGCUGGUAAUCUCUCUAACCUCUCUUCGUUUUUUAAUUCAAUUUACUUUAAUUACGUUUAAUUAGGGUCCUAUAGUUGUUUUUUACUGUCGGAUCUAAUGCUCUUUUGAUCCGAUUUGUGCUUUUCAUUAUUAGACGAGGUGGUAAAUACAGCUUUAUUAUGUGCUUUUCGAUGAAUAUAAUCAAAAGGCUGUGUUAUAAUUGAUCAACUGUUCUUUAGUGGUUUGAAUCGUGUAGUUGGAUCUGUAAUUUGUUUUGUAUAUUUGUUGGAUUUGACUGACAAUGAGAGCAUUGUAAAGUUGUAUGAUUCCGUGUCUUUUUGGAGCAGCUUGUGUGAUUGUGUACAAAUAAAUGAAACAUGUUUUUUUAUAAACUAUUUAAAAGUUCAAUUUUAAAGUAAGUCAUAAUCAUAGCACAUCAUUGGAUGAUAGAGAUAUAUCGUCUAAUUUAAAUUAUGGAACAUGAACAUGAUUAUUUUUAAGACAAUUUGAAUAUAUUAGUUUCCGGUAUGGACAUAAACAGAAACGGCAAGCACUGAUUGUUUGCAAAGAAAUAGCUAUAGGAUUUGGUAAAGUCUCAAAAAUCAGAGAGAGAAGCGGGUUAUGUUCAAAAAGAAAGAGAACGACAAAGAAGAUUAAUGUAGAUGUAAGUAAACAGGAAAAAUAAACACCACUACAUAUAUUAUAUAUCGAGUUAAAUUUUAAUAUUAACACAUUAAAUUUAUAAAAUAAUUUUUCAUUCGAAAGAAUAAUGCCUGCCCUUGCGAAGCGGGCAAGCAUACUAGUAUGUAUAUUUAGGGUAUAAUAGUUAAAUUUUGAUUUGUAUUUAUGAAAAAGAAUAUUUAAAAUAAAUAUGAAUUAUUGCACUUUUAAAGGAAAAUAUAUAAAUAAUAAAAUACUAAUAAAUAUAAAUAAGAUUAAAUUAAAAACAUGAAAAUUCGAUGAACCAAAUGAUUUUGAAUUUGUCAGUGAUAAGUGUAAAUACUUAAUAAAUGUAAUAAACGUAUCUUUUGAAUGAAUAAUAUCUAUUUUUUUCAUAAGUUUUACGUUAUUAUAAAUCAUGUGAUUUCUAUCUUUUGUGUUAUAAUACUUUCUUAGAAUUUAACUAAUUUAAAUAUUAUAUUAAUAUACAAAAUUAAAAAAAUAAAAAGAACAAUAUACGAAAUGAUGUAUAAAUUUUGUGUGAAAUGUAAAUAUAAUUAUUAUGUCCUCAUAAAUAAUUUUUAUGUAUAAUUAUUUUAUAAGAUCUAAAAUAUAAACUAUUUCAAAUAUAAAAAUAAGUAUUGCAUAAAAAUUUAUUAUAAAUAAUAUAUAAACUGAUAUAAUAGAAUAUUUUUAUAUAUUAGAAAAAGGCCCCCAUUGAAAUUUCUCUCAUAUUUAGUUGAGCCGCCUGACUAUAAAGAAAUGAGAGGGACAGAGGAUUGAGUAAUUUCCCCAUAUUUUAAAGUCUUGAAAUUCAUUUACAAGUGAAAUUCAUUUACCUUCGGUCUGAUUUAACAUAUGAAGAGAAGCAUGUAGAAAUUGUGGAUUCUAAGUUUCAGGAAUUAAGAAAUAAGAAAGUAAAAUUGGUUAAAGUAAUUUGGCGGAAUCAAGCUGUAUAAGAAGCCACGUGGGAACGGGAAGAAACCAUGAAAGAGAAAUAUCCAGAGUUGUUUCAACAUCAAAUCUGAUUCCGAGAUCGGAAUCCUUUAAAGGAGGGAAGAAUGUAACAACCGAGAAAUUUCAAGUACGUAAAUAAAUUAGUUAUUUAAUUUUAUGCGGUUGAAGUUAUUAUUUAAGUAAUUGUGAAAUUAUUAUUUAAUAAAAUAUGGUUACGAAAAAUAUUUCUGGCUAGUACGAGGUUUGUUUAUACCGACUAGCAAGCUAAAUCCAUUUUCGUACCAUUAGGAUUCUAAUAUUGGCUACGUAAAUAAAUUGAUAGAAGUAUAAUUUUUGUUACAACCCGGGUAUAUUUUAUAAAUAUUACAGUUAGCCAGAAUAAAUAUUUCGUACCAACUAUUUUGUGAGAUUACGAAAUAUUUAGAAGAUAAUAGAAUAGUUAGUCAUUUAAUUAUUUUUUAUCAUAUAUAUAUUUAUAUAUAUAUUCAAUUUAUUUUAUUAAACUUCGGUAUAAUAUUUUAAUGUUUUUAAAUAUGAAGCGGAGAUCAAAAUAUUCAGGAAUAAAAGGAGCUGAAUAAAUUAAAACCGAAAUAUUGAUUUGCGUGCUAGUUAAAUAAUAAUAUAAUAAAAUAAAUAUAUAACAAACCGACUAAAAGAAAAACCAGCAGCUGGUAUUACAGCAUACUGGAUUUGAGCACAUAGGUUGUAUUGAGUAGCCUCCAAGUAAAGUUAACCAUAGUUAAGUAUAAGCUAACCACAAUUAAGGAGUACUAUAAAUAGGGAUUUGAAAUGCCUAUGUCUUGUCUUGAUUAUUUUGUAAAUCAAGCUUUUCAUUGAUGGUGACAUGUGAUAAGUAGAUUAUUUAAUUGUUUUAAAUGGAAAAGUUUCUGAUACUCUCAAGAUUUUGAUGAUGACACUAACAGCAAGCUAAUAACAUGAAGAUGAAACUGAUAUGUGUAAGCCUGCUAUCAAAGGUUGGUUAUGCGGACUAACAGUAUUUCAGGAUAUUAGCAUGAUUGUAACUGUCAGCAAGCUUACAGGGAUGUUUACAAGCUAUCAGCAGGCUUACAGCGUGAACAGAGAAACAAUCGGAUAAAAAUCAAAGUCUAUUUUCAUGGAGAUUUAAUAGGAAACGAAUUGUAAGGAUUCUAAUAUUUGUAUAUAUCUUAUAUAAAUAUUAGAGCUCAGAUUUAUAAAGAGUUUUUAUUCAAAAAUGUUUUCCUAACUAAUAGGAGAUUUUAUCUCAAAUCGAUCUUAUCUAAAAACUCCUAUCUAGUUUAAAGCUGUUGGAUUUUGUUUAAAUACUUUACUGAGGUGAUUUCAAACGUGGAUUAUCUUUUACUCAGUAAACUUAUGUCAUCCAAACGUUCAUCAUUCAAAUCAAAUUUAAACGUGAGGUUGUUACCAAGAUCGUUGGAAAUUUGUUGGAUUAUGACCGUUGGUGUGAUGUAUAUAUACUUGAGUGUGGUUUCGGUUUUAUAACAAGGAGAACACACCAAGCUUUCUGAAAUACAACUCCUUACAUUGCUAAAUCUUUCCUUGAGCUCUAGUACUUAUAUUUGCAUAUAUAUCUAUAUUAAGACUUCAUAGUUUCGGUUGUAUUACACUUAUUCAUUGUAUUGUUCAAGGUGUAAUGUUUUGUUGCUGUGUAUCCAGCUUGUGAAACAAGGGAACAAGAGAACUAGUUAGCUAGGAGAAUAUACUUGGGAAGUAUAGGUCUUGAUAGGCUUUUGAUUCGUGGUUCAGGGGUUUCAGCAGGCUGAUAACAGGAACAAGGGUUGAAGGGAGUUAUAUUAUUGAAUCUUGUAAUCGUUGACAUUUCUUGAUUAAUAAUAUAAUCUCUUACCAGUUGGUAGGGGACCAGGACGUAGACCAUUAGGGUUAGGGGUCGAACCUGGCUAAAACUCUUGGUGUUGCUAGCAUACUGCUUUAUAUUCUCUGCAUUGCAUUUCUAUUGUUAGCUAGCUGACUGUUUAUUCUGAAACUUAACAGCAGGCUGUCAUUGACAGAUUAAUUAUUCGGUAACUUAUAAAAAUCGGGUAUAUUAGCCAUAACACAUAUUCAACCCCCCUCUAAGUGUGUAAUUUCAGUUUCCACCUAAGUUGGAUGCCGAGUUUCAGUUUAUAAACCAAAUAAACAAACACGUACAUCAACAUAUACUAUCACAUCUAGAUUAGGUAUAUAAUUUGAUUAAUAUAGUUUUUCCCAAAUCACCUCUAGGGUUUCUUAUCAAAAGUUGGGGGAAAUUUUGUGAAUUGAAUAAUUGAUUGUUGGUUGUGGUUGUUGAUUAUGUAAAAGAGAUAAGCUGGGAGGGGGAAGGCUGGAGUCGGCCAUGGCACCACCGCCAGUGGCGACUCCCGGCGAAAAAGCNNNNNNNNNNNNNNNNNNNNNNNNNNNNNNNNNNNNNNNNNNNNNNNNNNNNNNNNNNNNNNNNNNNNNNNNNNNNNNNNNNNNNNNNNNNNNNNNNNNNNNNNNNNNNNNNNNNNNNNNNNNNNNNNNNNNNNNNNNGACGGCAACGCCGCCUGACUUUGGGCCAGCAAAGGCCGUGGAGAAGAAGAAGCGAAGGGGGGAGGGGGGAUUUUUGCAGGGGCAGGGUGGUAAUUUCCGCAGUGGAAAUUAUUUAAUAAAAUAAAAUGAUAAUGGUAAUAAUAAAUUGGGUAGUUAAAAUAUUUGAGAAAUACGAAAAUGAUGGGGUAGUAUAUAAAACGAGAAUUAGUUAAUAAUAAUCAAUUUAGUUAAGAAGAACAAAAUUAGGCAAGAUAUUAAGUCAAUGUGGGAUAAUAAUAAUAUGUGAAUAGUGAAAGAGUUUGAUCGUUAGUUUGGUAUUAAAUACAAACCACUACUAAUAUAUAAUACACUUGUAAAUUGAAUUUGAGAGAUAAUGUUACAUUUAAAUUAAUAAAAUAAUAUGUAGUGAGAUUUGCGAAUUAGUAAAAUUAUAAUUGCGUUCCAGGAGUUUAGUUACGGAUAUUAUAUUGCAAAAAGGUAAGUACGCUAGUGUUGUGAGAUUUUAAGUGCAAAAGCAAAUUUCAACUAAAAAUCAAAAUAAGUGUACAAAUAAAAGGUACAAGUCGAAAGGUUAGGAAUUUAAUUAAUAAAAUGAUUAAAUACUCUAAUUUGAUUGAAAGGAUAUAAUCAAUUCACCAGACUUAGGAUAUUAGUUAUCAAAUCAUUAGCUAUAUUUUUGGGAUAAUUUACUUCUAACAAAUAUUCUAAUCACUAUCACUACGUGAUUUAGAAUAUUUAAUAUCGAAAGGGCGGAGCCAAGUUAUAAAUCAGAGAAUAUCUUGUCAAGCUAGGGACCGAGGCAAGUUCACUAUCUCUAUUUUUAUUUAAGUUGUUUUAAUUAUUUUAAUUGUUUGAUUAAAUAAUGUUUUAAAUACCUUGACUACGUCCUUCGUUCCAUCAUAAGUUUAUUAAAUCAUUUGAGAUGAACACCCGAGAUUUGAUUAAAUAUUUACCCUUACUUUCGUUCGGGAAUGGUUAAAGAUUUAUUUCACAUAGAAGAUGUAUUGUUCACAUCUUCUAGUAAAUAGUGAUUGAUGGAUUAGUUAAAGAUUCGUUUCUGAUAGAAGAUGUAUUGUUCACAUCUUCUGAUUUACAAUGAUUGCUUAAUAAAUCAGAAGAGUUUUUCGGAGAAUGUUCUUUCUACUCGGAGAAUUCUUGUUCGGCUGGUCAACACGAAUUUAUUAAAUUCGUGGUAGAGAUGAAAGUUGUUAUCUGGUAAAGGCAGAUAGUAGGGUUCCAGUGUUAAACCCUGAUGCUAGCAAAGAGAGUGUUGGUGUGUCUUUAGUGGUGACGAUCAGACCACUAGGACUACACAGGAGAACGAUAUUCACGAAAUGGUAUUUGAUCGAACCAUGUAGUGGUAUCGAGAGGUCGGAAGACCAGCAAUUCUUUGAUUUAAAACUUGUUCUGGUAUUUGAUGCUUUGUUGAUGUAAACUGUUUUCUGUGCCCUAAAUGCAUAAAUUGAUAAAUGUUAUCUUCAAUUAUGUGAGCUUGCUGAGCAUGUAAGUGCUCAUUCUUGCAUCUAUGUUUUUAUCAACUAGCAGUAAAAAGCGAGUAUGGCACGAAUCAAGUUAACCGCUCGGAAGUAGGUGCGAGCUCGGAUAAGGGAAAGGCGCAUCACUCCAGCUGAAGCUGCCAGACAACGAAGAAUAGUAGGAACUCGAGCUGUAGUUGUUCUCUUUUGGUUUCAACCCUGUUUAUAUGUAAUCAUAUUAGUAGUUUGGAUGUAAGUUAGACGAUCGACCCUGGACUUGUGGGGCGAGAGUCGGAUAUUGUAUAAUAUUAAUAUCUAUGC
Molecule: long non-coding RNA, 19816 nt
Filed under: Daucus carota (carrot)
Lineage: Eukaryota; Viridiplantae; Streptophyta; Magnoliopsida; Apiales; Apiaceae
Description: long non-coding RNA (DCAR_LNC000098)
Source: RNAcentral